Molecule: non-coding RNA, 89 nt
Organism: Mycena rosella
Lineage: Eukaryota; Fungi; Basidiomycota; Agaricomycetes; Agaricales; Mycenaceae
Source: the annotation of a GenBank genome assembly
GACCCAGUAGCGGAAGGUCUGCGCCCGUGCCCUCUUUCCAUUCAUCUAGCGUGAUGCGGGAAUCCCUGGUUCGACUCCAGGCUGGGUCA